UGUAAAUAUAGGUCAUUCUAGACGGAUGCGUCCUCUCUCCUUCUCCAACUCCACUGCACCAGUAUUAACUGCCUCAUCGAAAACCCUAAUCAAACCUUUCUUUUUUCCAGGUAGAUAAUAGAUUUUGAUUGAUCUAUAUGGAUUCUCUCAUAUUCUGGGCAGAAUCUACUCUCGUUGGAGUCUGGCGUCAAACAAAGGUACAUCCUUGAAAGUCUGAAAGUUUUGCCAGAGUUUUAUUAGGCGUUUCUUGAUCAUGUUUGAGAUGUGUCCCAAUUGAUUUCUGUAUUUGUUUUCGAUGUCUUGUUUUGGGUUCUUAGUUAUUGUAGAACCAAUACGUUUCUAGGGUUGGGUAUCGAAUUGUUUACUUAUUGAAUCAUUGAGUUUCUGGGAAACCAAACGAGUGCUUGAUGCUAAUGUAAUGGCACUAGCAUUUAUCUAUAGCCUGCAGAAUCUAUGGCCUUUAUCGAUUUUUAAGUUUGAUGAUUUGAGAGCAUCCAAUGGAUUGGUUAGCAAACUAUCCAUACCCGAGAACAUCAAGAGAUUUGUUUAUGCAGUUCGUGAUCCUGAAUCUCAAUCUGUGAUUUACAUACUCUCUGUUCAGAAUUUGUCUGAGCGAUCGGCUAUAGAUGCUGAGUGCCUUAUUAGGGAGAUUCGACCCGAAGCUGUUGUGGUUCAGGUGUCUUCUUCUGCAUUAUGUCAAAUUCAAUCAGAGGAGGGGGAAUUGGGAAAUAAUAUAGAAGAACCAGUGCCAACUUCGUUCUUUGGGGUGAUUAAAAGAUGUUUUAUUGAUAAAAUCAGUAAGGACAAGUAUGAAAAUGUGGCUGGAAAGUUGGUUUUGAAAGAAAUUUUUGGGAUUGGUUUUUAUGGUCAUAUCAUGGCAGCUAAGAGAGUGGCUAGGGAGGUUGGUUCAUCAUUUUUGUUGCUUGAAACACCACUUGUUCAGACUUCUGUUGUGGAUGAUACUUCCAGUGAAGUUGAUACAGGGAGUGUGGUUCGUGGUUUAGUUAGUAGUUUGAUUCCACAGAAAUUGGGUUCGGCUGUUUCAUCAAGUUCAGGGAAAUUUUGUCUUACAGAUGAAAUUCAGCUCCAGAUGGUGAAGUUAUUGUCUCCAUAUAUGGAAGUAUCUAUACAGAAGUUACGUCCUUCAAGUUCUGUUUCAGAGGCAGGGUCAAAAGAAAUUCACCCAGGAAGCAGUUACCUGUUGCCACCAUUUGCCCAAUCUGUUUAUCCAUUACUUUCAGAUCUACAUGAUAUAUUUAUUGAUCUUCCUUCAAUAGGACGGGCUUUGGCCUCAUCACAGAAGAUGCUUUAUGGUGUAAGCAGAGGGGAAAUUGUGGAUGCCCAAAUUAUAUCUGAAGUUUACACCUUCCGAAUUGCAGUUGAGGGGCUGAGAAUUGCCCUAAAUAGUGCUGGUAGGUUACCUAUCAAAAGCUUGGGUAAGCCUAACAAAAAUAAGGUUGAGUUUUCAGAGCUUCCAGUUGAAGACAAGUCACAUGCACUCCUUGCACAGGCCCUUCGUAGUCAGACUAGGAAGCUCAAGACUAUAGUAGCUUUAGUAGAUGCUAGUAACUUGGCAGGUCUCAGGAAACACUGGGACACUUCUGUGCCCCCAGAAAUCAAGGAAUUGGUUGGCGAGCUUGCCACUACUUUUGAAUUGGAUGGGGACUUUUCAAAUCAGACAGACAAGAAGAGUCUAUUUUCUAGUAAAUCUGUAAUGGCAGUUGGAGCUGGAGCAACAGCAGUCUUAGGAGCUUCAUCUCUCUCUAAAGUGGUUCCCACAUCAACAUUCUUCAAGGUUGUAACAUUUAAAUUGCCUGCUUCUCUUAAUUUUGUGCUAACCCAAACUCAGAAGACUAUGGCAAUAGCUCUAAGCAAGACUCUUGGUCCAAAAGUAGUUGCCCCAGGACUGGCAAACUCUGGAGCCAAUGCGACAUCUGUGUUAAAAGCAGCUGCUUCUGCUGAGAAAAUACGGACAAUGGCCCACAGCAUUAUAGCCUCUGUUGAGAAGACCAGUUUUUCAGCCAUGAGAACAGCAUUCUAUGAGAUAAUGAGAAAACGACAGGUCCAACCCAUAGGUUUCCUGCCUUGGGCAACAUUUGGUUGCAGUAUUGCAACGUGCUCAGCUUUGCUUAUGUAUGGAGAUGGGAUUGAAUGUGCUGCUGAAUCUGUUCCUGCCGCCCCUUCAAUUGCCAGUUUGGGUCGUGGGAUUCAAAAUUUGCAUCAGGUAUCUCAAGAAGUGGGGCAGAAGGAUGGCACCAGAAUACAAAAAGCCAUAGAGUCACUGAUGUAUAGUUUGAGGAAAGUAAAGAUUCAAUAGAGUACAAAUCUUCUCUUCAUUGUAUACUAGAAGUGAUUGCCCCUAAAUUUAGAGAAUUCUUCUGUAAAUAAUGCGUAUACAUUGGGGUUUUUAGUAUCAUCAUGGAUGAUUAUCUUUAUAUUCUUUGUUUGAAGUUAAUUUUAAACGAUAAAGCUUUAUUGUUAUACAACCAAGAAAGCCAUUAACAAGUAUUCUUUUUUGCCCCUCGAUAUUUAAGUUAAAAUGGC
Molecule: unclassified non-coding RNA, 2544 nt
Filed under: Hevea brasiliensis (rubber tree)
Lineage: Eukaryota; Viridiplantae; Streptophyta; Magnoliopsida; Malpighiales; Euphorbiaceae
Source: RNAcentral